This 562-nucleotide ribosomal RNA is filed under the name uncultured bacterium. RNAcentral describes it as "bacterial SSU rRNA". It matches the Rfam family "Bacterial small subunit ribosomal RNA", at positions 341 to 916 of the family's 1533-position model. The record is from RNAcentral.
ACGGGAGGCAGCAGUGGGGAAUUUUCCGCAAUGGGCGAAAGCCUGACGGAGCAAUCUCGCGUGAGGGAUGACUGCCUAUGGGUUGUAAACCUCUUUUUUCAGGGAGGAAUAAAUGACGUGUACCUGAAGAAUAAGCAUCGGCUAACUCCGUGCCAGCAGCCGCGGUAAUACGGAGGAUGCAAGUGUUAUCCGGAAUCACUGGGCGUAAAGCGUCUGUAGGUGGUUUAAUAAGUCAACUGUUAAAUCUUGAGGCUCAACUUCAAAAUCGCAGUCGAAACUAUUAGACUAGAGUAUAGUAGGGGUAAAGGGAAUUUCCAGUGGAGCGGUGAAAUGCGUAGAGAUUGGAAAGAACACCGAUGGCGAAGGCACUUUACUGGGCUAUUACUGACACUCAGAGACGAAAGCUAGGGUAGCAAAUGGGAUUAGAUACCCCAGUAGUCCUAGCUGUAAACAAUGGAUACUAGAUGUUGAACAGAUCGACCUGUGCAGUAUCAAAGCUAACGCGUUAAGUAUCCCGCCUGGGAAGUAUGCUCGCAAGAGUGAAACUCAAAUGAAUUGACGG